CACGUAGUUAGCCGGUGCUUCUUAUCCAGGUACCGUCACCCGAAGGCUUCUUCCCUAGCGAAAGAGGUUUACAACCCGAAGGCCGUCACCCCUCACGCGGCGUCGCUGCAUCAGGCUUCCGCCCAUUGUGCAAUAUUCCCCACUGCUGCCUCCCGUAGGAGUCUGGGCCGUGUCUCAGUCCCAAUGUGGCCGUCCACCCUCUCAGGCCGGCUACCCGUCGUCGCCUUGGUAGGCCAUUACCCCACCAACAAGCUGAUAGGCCGCGGGCUCAUCCUCCACCGAAAAAACUUUCCACCAACCACACUAAAGAUUGGUCCUAUCCGGUAUUAGACCCAGUUUCCCAGGCUUAUCCCGAAGUGAAGGGCAGAUCACCCACGUGUUACUCACCCGUUCGCCACUCGAGUACCCCUGCAAGCAGGGGCCUUUCCGUUCGACUUGCAUGUGUUAAGCACGCCGCCAGCGUUCGUCCUUGAGCCAGGAUCAAACUCCU
RNAcentral lists this ribosomal RNA (490 nucleotides) under uncultured Corynebacterium sp. RNAcentral describes it as "partial 16S ribosomal RNA". The record is from RNAcentral. Lineage: Bacteria; Bacillati; Actinomycetota; Actinomycetes; Mycobacteriales; Corynebacteriaceae.